AGCGGCGGAUGGGUGAGUAACACGUGGGGAACCUGCCCCUAAGUCUGGGAUACCAUUUGGAAACAGGUGCUAAUACCGGAUAAUAAAGCAGAUCGCAUGAUCAGCUUUUGAAAGGCGGCGUAAGCCGUCGCUAAGGGAUGGCCCCGCGGUGCAUUAGCUAGUUGGUAAGGUAACGGCUUACCAAGGCGGCGAUGCAUAGCCGAGUUGAGAGACUGAUCGGCCACAUUGGGACUGAGACACGGCCCAAACUCCUACGGGAGGCAGCAGUAGGGAAUCUUCCACAAUGGACGCAAGUCUGAUGGAGCAACGCCGCGUGAGUGAAGAAGGUUUUCGGAUCGUAAAGCUCUGUUGUUGGUGAAGAAGGAUAGAGGUAGUAACUGGCCUUUAUUUGACGGUAAUCAACCAGAAAGUCACGGCUAACUACGUGCCAGCAGCCGCGGUAAUACGUAGGUGGCAAGCGUUGUCCGGAUUUAUUGGGCGUAAAGCGAGCGCAGGCGGAAAAAUAAGUCUAAUGUGAAAGCCCUCGGCUUAACCGAGGAACUGCAUCGGAAACUGUUUUUCUUGAGUGCAGAAGAGGAGAGUGGAACUCCAUGUGUAGCGGUGGAAUGCGUAGAUAUAUGGAAGAACACCAGUGGCGAAAGGCGGCUCUCUGGUCUGCAACUGACGCUGAGGCUCGAAAGCAUGGGUAGCGAACAGGAUUAGAUACCCUGGGUAGUCCAUGCCGUAAACGAUGAGUGCUAAGUGU
Molecule: ribosomal RNA, 745 nt
Filed under: uncultured bacterium
Lineage: Bacteria
Description: bacterial SSU rRNA
Rfam family: Bacterial small subunit ribosomal RNA
Source: RNAcentral